GAUGAACGCUAGCUACAGGCUUAACACAUGCAAGUCGCGGGGCAGCAUUCACUUAGCUUGCUAAGUGAGAUGGCGACCGGCGCACGGGUGAGUAACGCGUAUCCAACCUGCCCUUGUCCACGGGAUAACCCGGUGAAAACCGGCCUAAUACCGUAUGAGGUCACAAGCGGGCAUCCAACUGUGACGAAAGGUUUAGCGGACAAGGAUGGGGAUGCGUCCGAUUAGCUUGUUGGCGGGGUAACGGCCCACCAAGGCGACGAUCAGUAGGGGUUCUGAGAGGAAGGUCCCCCACAUUGGAACUGAGACACGGUCCAAAACUCCUACGGGAGGCAGCAGUGAGGAAUAUUGGUCAAAUGGGCGCAAGCCUGAACCAGCCAAGUAGCGUGAGGGAAGACUGCCCUA
RNAcentral lists this ribosomal RNA (402 nucleotides) under uncultured bacterium. RNAcentral describes it as "bacterial SSU rRNA". It matches the Rfam family "Bacterial small subunit ribosomal RNA", at positions 28 to 419 of the family's 1533-position model. The record is from RNAcentral.